AACGUGUCGCGAUGGAUGACUUGGCUUCCUAUUUCGUUGAAGAACGCAGUAAAGUGCGAUAAGUGGUAUCAAAUUACCGAAUCUUUGAACGCAAACGGCGCAUGGGAGAAGCUCUAUUGUGUCAUCCCCGUGCAUGCCAUAUUCUCAGUGUCGA
RNAcentral lists this ribosomal RNA (154 nucleotides) under Leishmania sp. MHOM/CY/2006/CH33. Its description in RNAcentral is "5.8S ribosomal RNA". It matches the Rfam family "5.8S ribosomal RNA". From Rfam's summary of the family: 5.8S ribosomal RNA (5.8S rRNA) is a component of the large subunit of the eukaryotic ribosome. Lineage: Eukaryota; Euglenozoa; Kinetoplastea; Trypanosomatida; Trypanosomatidae. The record is from RNAcentral.